This 168-nucleotide ribosomal RNA is filed under the name Eviota punctulata (pepperfin pygmy goby). Its description in RNAcentral is "partial 12S rRNA". Lineage: Eukaryota; Metazoa; Chordata; Actinopteri; Gobiiformes; Gobiidae. The record is from RNAcentral.
CACCGCGGUUAUACGAGUGGGCCCAAGCUGACAGAACUCGGCGUAAAGGGUGGUUAAUAGCCUUUUUACUAAAGCCAAACAUCUUCAGAGCUGUCAUAAGCUUAUGAAGGCAGGAAGCCCCCCUACGAAAGUGGCUUUAAAACUUAUGACCCCACGAAAGCUAGGGCA